Long non-coding RNA from Labeo rohita (rohu), 677 nucleotides. RefSeq lists it as uncharacterized. The transcript has 4 exons. NCBI's taxonomy places the organism in Eukaryota, Metazoa, Chordata, Actinopteri, Cypriniformes, Cyprinidae. The record is from RefSeq and is a predicted model, not a curated record.
GUGGACACAUUUUUAAGCAAAAUGUUGAGUUUACACAUAAAAACAAGUUAACUCAAUGUUUACUAUAUUUUUCUCAAUGAACACAAAUAAGAAAGUUGAGCAAACUCAGUAUUUUUAUUUCUUCAUUUGAGCGGUCAACUUGACAUUAUUGCGCAUGCGCAAAGUGCCGUCGCUGAACUAUACAUGGAGUUUACUGCUUCAAACAUAAACAACGAUGGCAAAGGGAGUGGAUGUCUUCUUUUAAGGACACAAAGCCAGAGGAUGUCCACACCAAGGGUAUGAAGAUGAGCAUCUUAACUAUUACUGGAAGAUGAUGUUGUCAUCCACUCAAACCUAAAGGUUCUUUUUUGUGUGACCAGCUCUGUUCGGUUAAGGAUACUCUCUUCUCCACUAAGUAAUAGAGAUGCAUCAUAUUCACAACCUCAUCAUCUGCAGAGAAACUGCCACUCAAUCACACCACAUUGAUGGGCUUAAAGGCAUCACAGAGGAUCCUGAAGAUACAUUAUUCCUGGAAAUUUUGUCAUUUAUUUUCUAUUUCUAUUUUUACUUUCUGAUGUAUUUUUUUCAUGUUCAUUGUCAACUGUCAUUUAUUAUUUGUAUUUAGCCAAUAACUGUUUUUAGAGCAUUUUCAUUUUUGCUUCAAGUUCAUGUCAAUUAAAAAAAAAUAAAAGUACCUA